RNAcentral lists this ribosomal RNA (254 nucleotides) under uncultured bacterium. RNAcentral's name for it is "partial 16S ribosomal RNA". It matches the Rfam family "Bacterial small subunit ribosomal RNA", at positions 524 to 776 of the family's 1533-position model. The record is from RNAcentral.
UACGGGGGGAGCAAGCGUUGUUCGGAUUUACUGGGCGUAAAGGGCGCGUAGGCGGUCAGCACAAGUCAGUUGUGAAAUCUCCGGGCUUAACUCGGAAAGGUCAACUGAUACUGUGCGACUAGAGUGCAGAAGGGGCAACUGGAAUUCCUGGUGUAGCGGUGGAAUGCGCAGAUAUCAGGAGGAACACCAAUGGCGAAGGCAGAUCUCUGGGCCGUAACUGACGCUGAGGAGCGAAAGCAUGGGGAGCGAACAGG